GAAAUCUAUAAAUUAACGCUCCCGUCCGAUGAAAUAAGAUCUCGUUAACGAAUCCAUAAAUCAUCCUCAUCCUCAUCAUCUUCUCACCCAAAGCGGCUUCUUCUUCUUGUUCUUUUUCUUGUUCUUCUUCGUUUCACCUCCAGUACCCUUCUCCUCUGUUCGGCGUCAGCAACGUCUCCAGUUCAGGUCAUCUCUGCCUCCUUCUAUUCAAAGCAUCUUCGCUAGCCACGAGAUCGUGACCAAGUAUAUGGGUGUGAUUUGGGAGAGUUUUACAAACAAGAAGACGAAAGUACCGUCCAGAACCCACGAGAUUGCCCGGAGACGAUGGUCGUGGCGGCCGGGUUCGACCCGUUAAAGGAAAAGAGAGAUCGAGAUGUUCCUUGCGUGAGGCUCCAACAGAUUAAGGACUUCCACUAAGAUUUCUCAAGGUUAGUGCUUUCUUUUUCUCCAAGUUUAUGUUUUGUAGCGAGAGUUGCGAAUUUUUAGUGAUGAUCGCAUUUGGAAGAUAGGCUUUACUGCUGGUUCGUACUUGUAUUACUGAAAUAGCUAGAGACUUUAAAAAUAUAUAUAUUUAUACACAUGAAUUUUAAAUCACUUUUUUUUUGUACAAAUCCU
This is a long non-coding RNA of Brassica rapa (field mustard), 615 nucleotides long. RefSeq lists it as uncharacterized. Lineage: Eukaryota; Viridiplantae; Streptophyta; Magnoliopsida; Brassicales; Brassicaceae. The record is from RefSeq and is a predicted model, not a curated record.